UCAGGCUGCUAUGAAGAAAUACCCAAGACUGGGUACUUUCUCAACUUUCAAAUUGAGCUGUUCAGAAUGUGUGAAACAAUUUUAAGAUGAAGUCAAAGAUACUUGAAGCAGAAGCUGUAUCUGAGGAAGCUGUAUAUAAACCCAAUUUAAAGCAAGUAAGUAGGUCAAUAUGAUUCCAGAAAACAGGCAUUGCCAUUAGAAGACAAUUAUUUAGUAUUCACAACCUUUUUCUUGGGACAUUUAAAAUUAGAAACAGAUUGGAGCGGUAUGUCUGCAUGUAUCAUCCAACUAACAAAACAACAAAUGCCUUAGGUAAGAUGGCUCAUUUCAGAAAGAUAUUUUUAAAUGAGAUUGAGUAGGACUGGGGCAAAAUAUCUUAUAGGUAAGAAAAAAAGAGUACGGAUUCAAUGGCUAAAAGAAAGAACAAACAAACAAAAACAAAAUAGAAACAGAAAAAAAACCUGCCAGAAAAGAGAAAACAAUCCUAGGAAUAGAGUAUUCAUUAGAAUAUAAGAGACUAGUAAAAUUAAAUUGUAGAGAUUAGGUAGAAACUUAAAUACAGAAAAUUAUAGUGCUGAAUUAAAAAUGAACUUUUAUGAAUCCUGAGUGCCCAGUCAUUCCCACAACUCUACAUGUCAGUGGAACUUGGAUAUAACAGAGAACUGGACAUUGUGACUGCCACAUGAUUAUACUUAAAGGCAUGGUUAAAUAAUCUUAAUGAAAAAUACCCUGAAUAGAGAUGUACUCAGAAUGUUGAAAAGAAAAAAAAGACUAGGGAAAACAAUUAAUAAUCUGGCUUUUAAUUAUCUGUAUGUGUGUGUGGAACUAAGAUAGAAUAAAACCCUAAAUGUCCCACUGACUAAAUUGAGAGUAGUGUCCCAGAAGUAGCCUUUCCUAUAUCCCACUCUCUGGAUAGCAAAUCGGUG
Molecule: long non-coding RNA, 926 nt
Filed under: Homo sapiens (human)
Lineage: Eukaryota; Metazoa; Chordata; Mammalia; Primates; Hominidae
Description: HSALNT0209961
Source: RNAcentral